This 253-nucleotide ribosomal RNA is filed under the name uncultured bacterium. Its description in RNAcentral is "partial 16S ribosomal RNA". It matches the Rfam family "Bacterial small subunit ribosomal RNA", at positions 524 to 776 of the family's 1533-position model. The record is from RNAcentral.
UACGUAGGGGGCAAGCGUUGUCCGGAUUUAUUGGGCGUAAAGAGCGUGUAGGCGGCCAGACAGGUCCGUUGUGAAAACUCGAGGCUCAACCUCGAGAUGUCGAUGGAAACCGUCUGGCUAGAGUCCGGAAGAGGAGUGUGGAAUUCCUGGUGUAGCGGUGAAAUGCGCAGAUAUCAGGAGGAACACCGGUGGCGAAGGCGGAUCUCUGGGCCUUACCUGACGCUCAGGCGCGAAAGCUAGGGGAGCGAACUGG